This 76-nucleotide transfer RNA is filed under the name Finegoldia magna. RNAcentral describes it as "tRNA-Arg". It matches the Rfam family "tRNA". Rfam says of the family: Transfer RNA (tRNA) molecules are approximately 80 nucleotides in length. Their secondary structure includes four short double-helical elements and three loops (D, anti-codon, and T loops). Further hydrogen bonds mediate the characteristic L-shaped molecular structure. tRNAs have two regions of fundamental functional importance: the anti-codon, which is responsible for specific mRNA codon recognition, and the 3' end, to which the tRNAs corresponding amino acid is attached (by aminoacyl-tRNA synthetases). tRNAs cope with the degeneracy of the genetic code in two manners: having more than one tRNA (with a specific anti-codon) for a particular amino acid; and 'wobble' base-pairing, i.e. permitting non-standard base-pairing at the 3rd anti-codon position. The record is from RNAcentral. Lineage: Bacteria; Bacillati; Bacillota; Tissierellia; Tissierellales; Peptoniphilaceae.
AGAGAUUUAGUUUAAUUGGUAAAAUGUCAGACUCCGAAUCUGAAGGAUGAAGGUUCGACUCCUUCAAUCUCUGCCA